CUUGUCACCGUGUUACUUUUGAGACUCCUGAGCAACAAUCCCAAAUGAAAUCGACACAACAGAUCGGGAGGCGCGAGUGCAAACGGCAAACUUUGAAUGAUGGCGGUGCAGCGCCGGGUAGGACUUCACAGGCAGAGCCGUUGACAUUUGGUCUCCAGGCUCUGUUUGAGCUUAGUGUUUCCUCAGACUUUCAUCCCUCCUUCCUGACACACCGGCUCAUCUUGGAUCUCGGGCCAGACGUCCCCCGUCCCCCAGGGAUUCAGGGCAGUAUCUCAUCUGUCACGGAUGACACCACCCUCAUUGGACUGAUCUCUGGUGGGGACGAGUCCGCCUACAGGUGGGAGUCUGACCAUCUGGUGUCGUGAUGCAGCCAGAACAACCUGGAGCUCAACGCUCUAAAGACAGUGGAGAUGGUUGUGGAUUUCCGAAGGAACAGAGCCCCACCCUCCCCCAUCACCCUGUGUGACUCCCCCAUCACUAUUGUGGAUUCCUUCCGUUUCCUGGGCUCCAUCAUCACCCAGGACCUCAAGUGGGAGCUGAACAUCAGCUCCAUCACCAAGAAGGCUCAGCAGAGGUUGUUCUUCCUGAGGCAGCUGAAGAAAUUCAACCUGCC
Molecule: long non-coding RNA, 613 nt
Organism: Gasterosteus aculeatus aculeatus (three-spined stickleback)
Lineage: Eukaryota; Metazoa; Chordata; Actinopteri; Perciformes; Gasterosteidae
Source: Ensembl